This is a long non-coding RNA of Piliocolobus tephrosceles (Ugandan red Colobus), 279 nucleotides long. RefSeq lists it as uncharacterized. The transcript is spliced from 3 exons. NCBI's taxonomy places the organism in Eukaryota, Metazoa, Chordata, Mammalia, Primates, Cercopithecidae. The record is from RefSeq and is a predicted model, not a curated record.
AAUUUUAAUAAGUGCUGGAGGGGAGCUUGUCUACAGCCUGGAGAAGAAAGGAAUCAAAGUGUGAGAAGGACAGCAAGGUGUUCUACAAUAUCAGAAGUCUGUGUGUCAAAACAAGAAUAGGAGGUCCUGCCUCAAGAGGUAGCCACUGAGUCUCAGAAAAAGAAAAAUGACCUUGAGACUUGAGACAGCAUAACCUGGUGGAAAUAAUCUUAGAGUGAGAGGACAUAAUUUUCUCCUUCCAAUUUCCCCUUCUGGCUAAGAUAAAAUGGAUAAAUGGGU